CAGCUAGUUGGCGGGGUAAAGGCCCACCAAGGCGACGAUCGGUAGCUGGUCUGAGAGGAUGAUCAGCCACACUGGAACUGAGACACGGUCCAGACUCCUACGGGAGGCAGCAGUGGGGAAUAUUGGACAAUGGGGGCAACCCUGAUCCAGCCAUGCCGCGUGUGUGAAGAAGGCCUUCGGGUUGUAAAGCACUUUUGUUGGGGAAGAAAAGCACUGGGUUAAUACCUUGGUGUCAUGACGGUACCCAAAGAAUAAGCACCGGCUAACUUCGUGCCAGCAGCCGCGGUAAUACGAAGGGUGCAAGCGUUACUCGGAAUUACUGGGCGUAAAGCGUGCGUAGGCGGUUUGUUAAGUCUGUCGUGAAAGCCCCGGGCUCAACCUGGGAAUGGCGAUGGAAACUGGCGAGCUAGAGUACGGUAGAGGAGAGUGGAAUUCCCGGUGUAGCAGUGAAAUGCGUAGAGAUCGGGAGGAACAUCAGUUGCGAAGGCGGCUCUCUGGACCAGU
This 504-nucleotide ribosomal RNA is filed under the name uncultured Gammaproteobacteria bacterium. RNAcentral describes it as "SSU rRNA". It matches the Rfam family "Bacterial small subunit ribosomal RNA", at positions 242 to 738 of the family's 1533-position model. The record is from RNAcentral. Lineage: Bacteria; Pseudomonadati; Pseudomonadota; Gammaproteobacteria.